Molecule: small nuclear RNA, 82 nt
Organism: Ovis aries (sheep)
Lineage: Eukaryota; Metazoa; Chordata; Mammalia; Artiodactyla; Bovidae
Rfam family: U4 spliceosomal RNA
About the family: U4 small nuclear RNA (U4 snRNA) is a component of the major U2-dependent spliceosome.
Source: Rfam
AGCUUUUUGCAGUGGCAGUAUUGUAACCAAUGAGGUUUAUCCGAGGCACAAUUAUCAUUAAUUGAAGAAAAUAAAUAAAUAA